Molecule: ribosomal RNA, 575 nt
Filed under: Aspergillus cervinus
Lineage: Eukaryota; Fungi; Ascomycota; Eurotiomycetes; Eurotiales; Aspergillaceae
Also listed under: 3 other names
Description: eukaryotic LSU rRNA
Rfam family: Eukaryotic large subunit ribosomal RNA
Source: RNAcentral
AAAGAAACCAACCGGGAUUGCCUCAGUAACGGCGAGUGAAGCGGCAAGAGCUCAAAUUUGAAAUCUGGCCCCUUCGGGGUCCGAGUUGUAAUUUGCAGAGGAUGCUUCGGAUGCGGCCCCUGUCUAAGUGCCCUGGAACGGGCCGUCGGAGAGGGUGAGAAUCCCGUCUGGGAUGGGGUGUCCGUGUCCGUGUGAAGCUCCUUCGACGAGUCGAGUUGUUUGGGAAUGCAGCUCUAAAUGGGUGGUAAAUUUCAUCUAAAGCUAAAUACUGGCCGGAGACCGAUAGCGCACAAGUAGAGUGAUCGAAAGAUGAAAAGCACUUUGAAAAGAGAGUUAAACAGCACGUGAAAUUGUUGAAAGGGAAGCGCAUGCGACCAGACUCGCUCGCGGGGUUCAGCCGGCAUUCGUGCCGGUGUACUUCCCCGCGGGCGGGCCAGCGUCGGUUUGGGCGGCCGGUCAAAGGCCCCCGGAAUGUAUCACCUCUCGGGGUGUCUUAUAGCCGGGGGUGCAAUGCGGCCAGCCUGGACCGAGGAACGCGCUUCGGCACGGACGCUGGCAUAAUGGUCGUAAGCGAC